GGGUCGUUUUUUGGAUUUAAUAGUUUAGACGGCUGUGGAUCCCCUAGCCCGGGUUCAAAUCCCGGCCCCGGCCCCA
Molecule: transfer RNA, 76 nt
Filed under: Thermococcus litoralis DSM 5473
Lineage: Archaea; Methanobacteriati; Methanobacteriota; Thermococci; Thermococcales; Thermococcaceae
Description: tRNA-Leu (CAA) (tRNA-Leu-CAA-2-1)
Source: RNAcentral